Molecule: long non-coding RNA, 1983 nt
Organism: Oncorhynchus tshawytscha (Chinook salmon)
Lineage: Eukaryota; Metazoa; Chordata; Actinopteri; Salmoniformes; Salmonidae
Source: Ensembl
UACCAUUACAGUGUGUGCUGAUAAACCUCUGAGAAGUUGAUCCGCUUUCAUAGCAUUCACCCACCCAUCAAGGGAAUUAAUACUGUCGUCCUCAUUAUGCUUCUGGAACCAAAAUCAAUAAACUUGAUUAUGAGAGGGAGUGAUUAAAAAUGUAUAUAUAUGUUUUUCAAAUUAGCAGUACCCUUACAGUUAAGAAAGAGGCUACAAGCCAUGUAUUUCUGAAACACAUGCAAGCUUUCUGAGUGCUCCAUGAAUGUUUCUGGUAAACACCUAGACAUAACAUUCUGUUCCCAUCAAUGCGUCUACUGAGAGUCUUUUCUCCCAUGAGACAUUAAGAAUCUUGUUUUUAGCACUGAUGGAGAACAUUGCCUCAGCUUUUAAAUGUGAUACAAAGAGUUUUUUCCCACUUUGUACCGAAACAGAUAAACAGGGGAGAAAUGGGGAUGUGGUUUACAAUGGGCUGCAUAAAGAGAGGAUCAAACUGUGCAGACACAAAGCAUCCUGCAAAUCACCUCCCUUUGCACCCCUUUCCUCACUCUCAUCAUCUCUCCUUUCGCCCUCCCUCCCUCCAGUCCCGCUCCUCUUUUUUCUCUUUCUUUCCUGUUCCCCUGUUCGGUUGAAUUGGAACUUUUCCCUUUUCCCACGAUGUGUAUGACAACAGCCACUGUCAUGAGCCAAACCAGCAGGGUUAUAUCAAGGGAGGGAGGGAGAUAGAAAAAAACAGAGAGUGAGGGAUGGAAAGGGUGAGAGGAAGAGAGCGAUAAAGUGAGCAAUAAGGGAUUAUUUGCCAUUUUGCCAGUGUGAUGCGAUGCAGUGGCUUGCAGUCAUUUCAGCGUGAAUCUCAUUUAGGAGAGAGGCAGACCUGGCUGCUAUACUGAGUGGAAAAGAGUGUGUGUGGGAGGAGGUGAACAUACACACAGAUACACAAACGCAUGCAAACAGACUGAAGCACACACACACACACUUUUUUUCGAAGCUGAAGUUUGACAAAUUUCACGUACAGACACAGCCUCACAUCCAGCAAAUACAGUAGUAGUCAUAUCCUAUUUGUCAUUGGCUGAAGAGACUGCUACUGAGACCACAGACUACGACUCUGCCAAACAAACCUUCCGUUUGGCCAUUGUACCACUACUAAUCAGCUGCAUUGGAACAGGCAGAUCCAUAUCUAAUCAUCAUAUCAAGCCUGGAACACGCUACUUGAUGGAUGCAGCAUGCAUACUUCAUUUCAGGGUUGAAUGAAGUUCCAUUCAUGAGCAGUUGGUUAGGACUAAGCUCUCUCCCAACCCCUCUGCGGUUUUUCAAAGCGGAUCCAGAAUCUUCAACAUAUGACAGACUCUCCAAAUCCUUCUACUGGUUACGGGGAGUCCAAAGAACCAAUUAGGGAAUGUUCUCUGUCCAUUCCACACUAUAACAAAAUCUAUGCAAAGGAAUGUACAUCUUUUUAAUGUAACCAGAAAGGAAAAGUUAGCUUACCGUCCAGUAUAGUAAAUCAGAGAUGAGAGUGAAUGAGAAACUAGAUGUCAUAAAACAAGAAAUCAUUUUACAAUUCUGUUCUAUUGCUAUGAAAAUGUAAUUUGCAUGAAACCAACUAGUUUGAAAUCAGGCUUUUUUGCCGUUAGACACUCCAAGAGAACACGGCUGCUCUGUAAUGUGUGUUUGUGUGUACUGUAUGUACAGGUAUGUGUGUGCACCUGUUGACUUGGAAUGAUUUAAGUUAAUACAUCAUUUUUGUACAUACUGUUGGAUCUAGUGAAAUGACAAGAAAUGUAUGCUCACACUACACUUUGUCCAGAAAGGGUGUUGAUUUUUGUUAACGGAAACAAAAAAAAAUAUUUAUUUCAUUUCUAUUCAAUUACUGGUAGGUAACUAUUGAGAAAAUAGUUGUUUCUGGUGUAUACGUUCAUUUUGUAAAUCUGCUUCAGAAAAUAAAAGUGAAAUAUGAUAUAAUGUACAGUAUAUUACAAUAAAAGAAUAUUAGGUUCU